Long non-coding RNA from Dermacentor andersoni, 2595 nucleotides. RefSeq lists it as uncharacterized. NCBI's taxonomy places the organism in Eukaryota, Metazoa, Arthropoda, Arachnida, Ixodida, Ixodidae. The record is from RefSeq and is a predicted model, not a curated record.
GUAUUCUGUAGCGGUUCCUUUGGGAACCGGUUCCUUUGGGCUGUUGCCAUUGGUCGGCGUUUCGUUGUCGUCAUCCCUGGUGGGCGGGACGACAAAUUUUGAUGACGUCACACAGGUUGCCAAUCUUCUGGAAAGGAACCGGUUCCCUGCUAGGAGAGGAACCGCGGAGAAGUGGUUCUCUCGAGGGUCGCGCGCGGGGGCGAGCAUGAUGUCGAGGGUUGCUAGGGCAACCGUGGCUGCCGGCUAAUCUCGCGCCAGCUGACGAGCCGGCACCUAGACGAGACGAGACAGAGACGGCAAUGGCGGCUCCUUUGGUUGUGUUGCUGGCGAGUGCCGAAAGACAACGACGCGACGAGAGGCAACGACGCGACGCGUUCGGCAUGGCCGAAGAAGAGUUUCGAACGCAUUUUAGGCUCUCCAAAGACAUAGUGUGACGUCUUUGCGAUGAGCUGGAAGGACAUCUCGGACCUCAAAGAUUUCGUGGUGUCGACACUACGAUGAAAGUGCUGUGCGCGCUGCGGUUUUUUGCCACCGGGAGCUUUCAACAGUGCGUCGGGAAUGAAGAAGCGAUUGCACUGUCGCAGCCUUCGGUCAGCCGGAUCAUUACAGCCGUCGCCAAGGCCAUUACGGUUGUGGGCAAAGAAAAAGGAUGGGUUAGAUUCCCAUCCACGGCGCAACAGAAAGCCGCCGUCAAGGAAGGCUUUCUUAGCCGUGGAAAAAUUCCAUGAGUUCUAGGAUGUGUGGACGGGAGUCUGAUAGCCAUCGUUCGCCCUAAGAAGCUCGGCCCCGGCGAAACGGAAUCGUACUUGAGCCGUAAAGGGUAUUACGCCCUCAACUGCAAGGUCGUGAGUAUUGUUCAUUGACAAAUAUUUUCGAUAUGUGAUUGCGCGAGUGCACGUUGUAAAAAACUUCGUUUCGUUAUUUUCCUAUUCGAGAAAGUAGCGUUUGUGUUGUAUGUGUAAUGACAACUUUGAUCUUGGCAAUAGAACCCGGCCGCACUUUUUCAGUGCUCUCUAAUCACAGUUGAAUAGCCUUUUCGAUGCUACAAUGUAAACACAUUACGCGCGACUUAAACCGGAAUAGACGCCGUAGCAGUGAAGGGAGUCUUCGUCUGCGAGCGAUCCUAACAGAAGACGAGCCCUUGUGAUUCUUAUUCGACGUAAAACUAAAGCAUUGUGGCCAACAGACUGUAAACGUGAAAAGGAGCAUCCCAUCAAUGAAAAUGGUGUGAGGGAGAAUGAGAAUGUGUGGACACCCAUUUGCUCUAGCUGUUGCUACGGCACAUGCUGCCACUUCCGCGUUCUUUCGCUUGUAAUAGGCACUUUGUCUGGAAAAACAAGAAAAAAACACAGGUGGCACUCUCUAGCAGAAUCUUGUACAAUAUGGACGGAAGAAACCAAAGGAAUUAUUUUGCACAUUGUGUUGUGACCGCACGCCAUACAUGAGCACAUGUACACAUGCCAACAUUGCAUUUGUAGGUUAAGAUGACAUUGUUAUCAUGCUGAUGAUUAGUUCAACUGCCUACUGCGUAUGUUGAUAUCUCCUUUUCUGUAAUUGUGUUGGCUGACUGAACAGUAACUGAUUGGCAAGUAGUGUUGUAAGCAAAAGUUUGUGCCAGAUAUUUGUUGCAGUGGCAUUGACACCUUCUCUUUGCUUUCCCUUACGAGGUGUGUGAUGCAAAGCUGAAUAUCCUGGCAAUUGACCCACGGUUUCCGGGAUCGUGCCACGAUUAUUUCGUUUGGAGGCAUUCUGCAUUUCGCCGCCGCCUCACUCGUGGCCUGUUACUUCAUGGAGAAGUCUUGCUUGGGGACUCUGGGUACCCGCUAGAGCCAUGGAUCAUGACUCCUGUGCCUGGUCACCCAAAUCGCCUCAUGGCAGAGGGGCGCUAUAAUGAGGCACACGCAUCAAUGCGAAAUGCCGUUGAGCGGUGCAUAGGAGUCGUCAGGAGCCGCUUCCGAUGCCUGCAGAGGUAUCGGGUGCUCCACUACUCGCCUCAGAAAGCAGCCACUAUUGUUGCAGCUUGUGCAGCACUGCAUAACCUCUGCCUUGCAGCAGGCGUGCCUCUGCCAGACGACCCAGGUGAUGACGGUGCACAUGACGACAGCGCACAGGAGCCAGCCCAGGCACAAGUGCCGCUUCAAGUACAGGUGCCACCGCAGGCGCACCCUGUACAGCCUUCUCGAGCUUUGUUUCAAAGAGGCCGUGCGGUGCGUGAAUCCAUAGUUGGUGUGUUUCGGCUGCCCAGAAAUUUUCGCAUUGCCUACCUGCAAAGUGUUCGCCGGCGCAUUCGCUGGCAAAUGAGGCGGAGACAUGUGCUGGUGUAACAUGUUUUAUUUUUAUUUUCAUGAAAGUAAAUAGGCCGUGCACUUCAACAUAACACAUUGCGUGUGCUCACAUGUGGCUAAUCAUAGUAUGCUGCAUACUGCAGUAGUGAAAAGCACAUGAUUUGUCUAUGUUGAGCAUGACAGAUACACAUGCAGUGACAAAUAACCAUGUGCCAUUAUGUUACUCCUUUGCUUUGUUCACUGUGCUUUUGAAUAUUGUCUCGCCAGGGAAUUUUCUUUAAAUAAAGGUUAUUUCCAAGGUGAAUGGCAA